GACGAACGCUGGCGGCGUGCUUAACACAUGCAAGUCGAACGGAAAGGCCCUGCUUUUGUGGGGUGCUCGAGUGGCGAACGGGUGAGUAACACGUGAGUAACCUGCCCUUGACUUUGGGAUAACUUCAGGAAACUGGGGCUAAUACCGGAUAGGAGCUCCUGCUGCAUGGUGGGGGUUGGAAAGUUUCGGCGGUUGGGGAUGGACUCGCGGCUUAUCAGCUUGUUGGUGGGGUAGUGGCUUACCAAGGCUUUGACGGGUAGCCGGCCUGAGAGGGUGACCGGCGACAUUGGGACUGAGAUACGGCCCAGACUCGUACGGGAGGCAGCAGUGGAGAGUAUUGCACAGUGGGCGGAAGCCAGAUGCAGCAACGCCGCGUGCGGGAUGACGGCCUUCGGGUUGUAAACCGCUUUCGCCUGUGACGAAGCGGGAGUGACGGUAAUGGGUAAAGAAGCACCGGCUAACUACGUG
RNAcentral lists this ribosomal RNA (468 nucleotides) under uncultured bacterium. RNAcentral describes it as "partial 16S ribosomal RNA". It matches the Rfam family "Bacterial small subunit ribosomal RNA", at positions 28 to 507 of the family's 1533-position model. The record is from RNAcentral.